AGCGGCGAGUGAAGCGGCAAGAGCUCAGAUUUGAAAUCGUGCUUUGCGGCACGAGUUGUAGAUUGCAGGUUGGAGUCUGUGUGGAAGGCGGUGUCCAAGUCCCUUGGAACAGGGCGCCCAGGAGGGUGAGAGCCCCGUGGGAUGCCGGCGGAAGCAGUGAGGCCCUUCUGACGAGUCGAGUUGUUUGGGAAUGCAGCUCCAAGCGGGUGGUAAAUUCCAUCUAAGGCUAAAUACUGGCGAGAGACCGAUAGCGAACAAGUACUGUGAAGGAAAGAUGAAAAGCACUUUGAAAAGAGAGUGAAACAGCACGUGAAAUUGUUGAAAGGGAAGGGUAUUGCGCCCGACAUGGGGAUUGCGCACCGCUGCCUCUCGUGGGCGGCGCUCUGGGCUUUCCCUGGGCCAGCAUCGGUUCUUGCUGCAGGAGAAGGGGUUCUGGAACGUGGCUCUUCGGAGUGUUAUAGCCAGGGCCAGAUGCUGCGUGCGGGGACCGAGGACUGCGGCCGUGUAG
This 508-nucleotide ribosomal RNA is filed under the name Pichia kudriavzevii. RNAcentral describes it as "eukaryotic LSU rRNA". It matches the Rfam family "Eukaryotic large subunit ribosomal RNA", at positions 85 to 604 of the family's 3401-position model. The record is from RNAcentral. Lineage: Eukaryota; Fungi; Ascomycota; Pichiomycetes; Pichiales; Pichiaceae.